UCUGACAUGUAAAAGCAGCUGCACUCUGACUGACAGAGCAACAUACGUCUGGUACAGAAACUCACAGCCAUUAACUGAGAGAAGAGACAGAAACAAUCAACUCCUGCUGCAGUCAGUCAGAAGAGAGGAUGCAGGCAGAUACAGCUGUGCUCUACAGGAACACACUUACAUCUCUCCUGCUGUUCAGCUCAGUGUCACGUACCCACCAAAGAGUGUCUCAGUGUCCAUAAAUGGAUCUGGUGAAAUAGUGGAGGGAGAUUCAGUGACUCUGAUCUGCAGCAGUGAUUCAAACCCUCCUGCUCUGAACUUCAGCUGGUUUAAGG
Molecule: long non-coding RNA, 323 nt
Organism: Cyprinus carpio (common carp)
Lineage: Eukaryota; Metazoa; Chordata; Actinopteri; Cypriniformes; Cyprinidae
Exons: 2
Source: RefSeq, a predicted model, not a curated record